UAGCUGCCGAGUCAUUCAUCCA
Molecule: microRNA, 22 nt
Filed under: Prunus persica (peach)
Lineage: Eukaryota; Viridiplantae; Streptophyta; Magnoliopsida; Rosales; Rosaceae
Description: ppe-miR319b
Gene: ppe-miR319b
Source: miRBase by way of RNAcentral